AUUGAACGCUGGCGGCAUGCCUUACACAUGCAAGUCGGACGGCAGCGCGGGAGCAAUCCUGGCGGCGAGUGGCGAACGGGUGAGUAAUACAUCGGAACAUGUCCAGUAGUGGGGGAUAGCCCGGCGAAAGCCGGAUUAAUACCGCAUACGAUCUAUGGAUGAAAGCGGGGGAUCGCAAGACCUCGCGCUAUUGGGGUGGCCGAUGGCGGAUUAGCUAGUUGGUGGGGUAAAGGCCUACCAAGGCGACGAUCCGUAGCUGGUCUGAGAGGACGACCAGCCACACUGGGACUGAGACACGGCCCAGACUCCUACGGGAGGCAGCAGUGGGGAAUUUUGGACAAUGGGGGCAACCCUGAUCCAGCAAUGCCGCGUGUGUGAAGAAGGCCUUCGGGUUGUAAAGCACUUUUGUCCGGGAAGAAAUCCCCUGCCCUAAUACGGCGGGGGGAUGACGUACCGGAAGAUAG
Molecule: ribosomal RNA, 464 nt
Filed under: Burkholderia sp. oral taxon D43
Lineage: Bacteria; Pseudomonadati; Pseudomonadota; Betaproteobacteria; Burkholderiales; Burkholderiaceae
Description: bacterial SSU rRNA
Rfam family: Bacterial small subunit ribosomal RNA
Source: RNAcentral